UACGUAGGGGGCGAGCGUUGUCCGGAGUUACUGGGCGUAAAGCGCACGCAGGCGGUCUGCUAAGUUUGGAGUGACAGUUGGUGGCUUAACUGCCAAAGUGCUUCGAAAACUGACAGACUUGAGGGCUUCAGAGGGACACGGAAUUCCGGGUGGAGUGGUGAAAUGCAUUGAGAUCGGAAAGAACACCAACGGCGAAAGCACUCUGCUGGGCCGACACUGACACUGAGAGACGAAAGCUAGGGGAGCAAAUGGG
Molecule: ribosomal RNA, 253 nt
Filed under: uncultured bacterium
Lineage: Bacteria
Description: partial 16S ribosomal RNA
Rfam family: Bacterial small subunit ribosomal RNA
Source: RNAcentral